RNAcentral lists this ribosomal RNA (1330 nucleotides) under Xenoturbella bocki. RNAcentral's name for it is "16S ribosomal RNA". It matches the Rfam family "Bacterial large subunit ribosomal RNA", at positions 573 to 2817 of the family's 2925-position model. Lineage: Eukaryota; Metazoa; Xenacoelomorpha; Xenoturbellidae. The record is from RNAcentral.
GUUUUAAAAUAUUCAAAACAUUUAAAUAACAGUCCACAAAAAGAAAUAUCUUAAAAUUUAAAGUACUAAAGAAGAAAACAAACAUUUAAAAAUAACCGCAAGGGAGAAACAAACUAAACAAARAAGCAUCACUCCUUCCUUUUGCAUAAYGAUCUCACAAGAAAACAAACUUAAUUCAAAGCAAACCCGAAACUACUAGAGCUAAUUAUUAGCAUGUCCAAGACACAACUCAUUAUUGUUGCAAAAAUAUGAGAAGACUAAUAAUUAGAAAGCGAAACACAAACCGAUAGUAGUGAUAUCUGGUUCUCUGAGAACAGACUAAAUCUCAAAAUGCACACAUUAACAAGCAUUGYACCGUCUCCUCAGAAUAUUCUGAGGAGACCACAAGGAAACAACCUGAAAACUUAGGACAACUAACUAGAUAAACAAAGUAGGCUUUGAAACAGCCAACUAAAAACGUAAAAGUUAAAACCUUGAAAAUAAACCCUAAAACACUUAUCAGAGCAAAUAAAAAACAAGAAACUGUAAGAACAAGUAAUUACACUACCACUUUAAUAAAAACACCUUGAAGAAAGCACAACACAAGACAAUCUAAACAAACAAAGGUACAACCAAUUUAGGUGGUAUUAAAAAUAUAUUAAUAGGAGGAAGGAACUCGGCUAAAUGGCUCCGACUGUUUACCAAAAACACCGCCUUUUGAACUUCCGAUAAAAGGUCACUCCUGCCCAGUGUUAUUAAGCUAAAACAAUAAUAAACGGCCGCGGUACCCUAACCGUGCAAAGGUAGCAUAAUCACUUGCCCCUUAAUUAGGGGAUAGAAUGAAAGGAAUAACGAGAGCCAAACUGUCUCCCCCCUACAAAAAUGAAACUUCUAAUUACGUGCCAAUGCGUAAAUAAAAAAGAAAGACAAGAAGACCCUGUCGAGCUUAAACAAACACAAGACUCAAACCCUUGACCUUUUGUUUUGGUUGGGGCAACCAAGGAGAAAAAAGAAACCUCCAAAAUAAUAAAAUAACCAUUUUAAGACAAGAAGACCCUUAAAUGAUUAAAGAACAAAGUUACCGCAGGGAUAACAGCAUUAUCCUCUAAAAGAGUCCUCAUCUAAUAGAGGGUUUGUGACCUCGAUGUUGGAUCAUUAAGUCUCCUCGGCGCAGAAGUUGAGAAAGAAGGUCUGUUCGACCUUUAAUAAAUUACGUGAUCUGAGUUCAGACCGGCGCAAGCCAGGUCGGCUUCUAUCUCCUAAAGAGAUUUUUUAGUACGAAAGGACCAAAAAUCAACGGACUAUUACAAUAUUACUCCGUAACAAUAAACACUUAGAACAAACACUACAC